GUGGGGAAUUUUGGACAAUGGGCGCAAGCCUGAUCCAGCAAUGCCGCGUGCAGGAAGAAGGCCUUCGGGUUGUAAACUGCUUUUGUACGGAACGAAAAGGCUCUGGUUAAUACCUGGGGCUCAUGACGGUACCGUAAGAAUAAGCACCGGCUAACUACGUGCCAGCAGCCGCGGUAAUACGUAGGGUGCAAGCGUUAAUCGGAAUUACUGGGCGUAAAGCGUGCGCAGGCGGUUUUGUAAGACAGACGUGAAAUCCCCGGGCUCAACCUGGGAAUGGCGUUUGUGACUGCAAAGCUGGAGUGCGACAGAGGGGGAUGGAAUUCCGCGUGUAGCAGUGAAAUGCGUAGAUAUGCGGAGGAACACCGAUGGCGAAGGCAAUCCCCUGGGCCUGCACUGACGCUCAUGCACGAAAGCGUGGGGAGCAAACAGGAUUAGAAACCCCUGUAGUCC
RNAcentral lists this ribosomal RNA (450 nucleotides) under uncultured bacterium. RNAcentral's name for it is "partial 16S ribosomal RNA". It matches the Rfam family "Bacterial small subunit ribosomal RNA", at positions 354 to 796 of the family's 1533-position model. The record is from RNAcentral.